This 207-nucleotide long non-coding RNA is filed under the name Elaeis guineensis (African oil palm). Its description in RNAcentral is "long non-coding RNA (EGUI_LNC058465)". The record is from RNAcentral. Lineage: Eukaryota; Viridiplantae; Streptophyta; Magnoliopsida; Arecales; Arecaceae.
AUUAGGAUAAGUCCAAAAAUAGUAAGGACAAGUCCAAUUUUAGGAUAAGAGUCUAGGAAGAGAAUUAAGGAAGACAAGGAGAGAAGAAAGGUAGGGAUAGGAAGGCUAGGAAGAGAAGAAAAGGGUCUUAAGGUUCUGGUGCUCAAGAAAAUUCUCAGAGUAAAAAUUUUGGAGGAAAAAUUAUCUCAAAGAGUUGGUGUCCUGAUC